Gymnodraco acuticeps is the source of this 7063-nucleotide RNA transcript. It is a transcript of the gene named C2 domain containing 3 centriole elongation regulator, with no coding region annotated. NCBI's taxonomy places the organism in Eukaryota, Metazoa, Chordata, Actinopteri, Perciformes, Bathydraconidae. The transcript is spliced from 34 exons. The record is from RefSeq and is a predicted model, not a curated record.
GAACACUUUAGCGGGCUGCCGUUUGUAUGUUUGUGUGGGUGUGUGUGCGAAACCCAAGCAGCUCUGUUAAACGGAUUAAAGUUAGUGGAGUUAGUGCACAACGGUGAUAAAAACCAUGGCUGUUGAAUGUUUAGGCACUGCUUCUGCCAGGCUCUUAUUUAAAACGCAUAUUUACUGAGCUGCGGGAUGAAGAGCAGAAAACAGAGGACCGUCAGAACCGGAGGCAGCAAAAAGAAAGUCCCCAGCGAUGUGCCCCCCGCCACCAGCCUCCCUCCUCUGGUCGAAGGCCAGCUAAGAUGCUUCCUGCGGCUGACCAUAAGCAGGGUAUUAUGGACAGUUCAUAAGCCUCCACCUGCAACAUUUGUGAGGCUGCGCUGGUGGGGAGAGUCCUCAAACGGGACACACUUCUUCCCGAGAGAUGGCUCACAGCCGUCACAGAAGACCAUCAAGACCACAGCUCGCUUCCCCAUCCGCUGUGGACCAAAGCAGUUCACCUCAUAUCUUACAGAUAUGGGCUCCCUGGUGCUGGAAGUUCUGACAAAACCUGAUCAUCUGCCGAUCGCAAGGGCUCAGGUUUCGGGUAUCUCUCGCCUCUCUCUGUCCCACCCCAUCAGUGGAUUUUACACCCUUAUAUCACCUACAUCUGACAAGCUGGGAGAGUUACAGGUUUCCCUUAAUCUGGAGCCUCUGACAGAAGCCUAUGACAGCAGCAGCUCUUGUCCCAUCACAGAUAUUAGUGUUGAAGGACCAGAAGUAACCAAACUGAAUGUGCCCUCGCAAACCAGACCACUCUCCGCCGUCAGCAGCAGUGGAAACACUCCAAGAGGGAAAGACCACUUGUAUUUCCAAAAUGCACAGAAGGACAAAGAAGAAUCACUGGAGAAUCAGAUGCCGACAACAGACAAAUCUCCAAACAGUCAAGCGGCCAUGAAUCCUUCAUGUAGACAGCUCUGUGGUCAAACCACCAAUGAUAUUCUUUCAGUUAUUCUGGAGCGUGGAAACAAGCUUAGAAACGCAAUGGUUGUAUCAACUUUAAAAUGUGACAUGGAUUCUGCCCCGGCUCUGAAAGACACCCCUCUACCUCUCCCAAAGGAAAACAUCCUGCCAUCUUCAAAGCCCGUCCCGUCUCCCUCUGGGAUGUUCCUUCAAAAUAUUCUUCAUGCUGAUUCAACUCUCAAGCACUCUGAGGAUGUUUCUGUAGUCUCAGACUGUCCUAUGGACAUGGAUAACAGAGCUGUGCACCUGCUCCUCGGCAGCUUGAACACUUCUCCUUUGCCUCUCUGGGAUGGAGAUGGCUCCUUCCCUGAAUCUCUCUCUGGCCAUAGCAGUGUGUGUGGGGACAGUGAGCUCAAUGAUCCACAAUAUGACCAGAGCUUACUGGAACAUUUGUUCUACAAAAGUCCUAUGUCAGAUAUCAAACCAGACGACACUGAGCCAGAGGGUCAAGGAACAAUGUCACGGAGUAAAAAACAGCUGACACAGUCUGCACCCAAGAUGAGUGAACGUCCUAACUCAGAGCCUCAGCGGUGUGCAGAUGCUGCUGGUAUCCCUCCUGGUUUGAGUGCAGAGCAGUUCACUUUGCUGAGUUUGAUCCGGCUUGCGAGAGUCACCAUCGACUCUCUUAUUGUACCUACAGGAAGUACAACCACCACACCUAGAAAACCCUCUAGUAAAGGGAAACCUCCUCAACCGUUAACCAGCAAAAAGUGCACAUAUUUUGUAGAGUAUCUGUUCCCGACGGCCUCAACUUCCAGUCGACAUGAUCGUAGUAAGGGUGGAGAUGGAGAGGUGACCACAGCUGUUGCCAGUAAAGUUGCAGGUGGAGCGGUAAAGUUCCAUCAGCGAUCUGUGUUUCCUGUCCACUUCAGUACAGCAGCAGUAAACAAAUGGUGGGGAACUGAUCUGCUUUUCAAGAUUUACUCACGAAGGAGCGACCAAAAGAAACCUGUUCCCAUCGGCAUGGCGAUCCACCCGCUGCGCUGUCUGCUGGAGAGCGAGCAGCUGAGUCAGUCUGUCCUCUUACCUGUGCAGAGGGUGGAAGCGAACAGUGAAACACAGGAGAUUGGACCCCUCAGGGUGUCGCUAGAACUUGCUAUACACAAUAAAGAUUUCUCCACUGAACAAAGUAAAAGCAAGCUGGCUCGGAGAGAUGCAUCGCCUUCUCAAACUGCACCCAGUCCACAGAGAGAGAGCAGCUCCAGAUCUCACCAUGCUGACAUUGAGAGGGAGGAGCUACCUGCUGGAUCUUUUGAAGAACCCACGCUGAAUGCUUGGAGUCCUCAGAAACACUCAAAGGAACCUUCUCCUCAUCUCGGCCUCCGAACAUCUCACAGAUCACAGCUACAGGUGGAGGAGGAUCCUGAGGUUCUGCUGCAUACGUUACUCAUGGUGCCCGAUGGAAAGAUCUUGCCCAUGCAGGCUCCAAACGUGUACCUGAACUGUAAACUCUGGUGUGAUGAGACAGCGAGGUCUGUCGUCAGCUGGGGGCAGGCAAAUCCUUCCUUUAACUUUGUUCAGGUGACCCCUGUGGCCUUAACUACUAAGCUGCUGGAGCGGAUGAAGAAUAACGUGAUAGUAAUCGAGGUGUGGCAGAAGACGGGAAGUUCAGGGCAGGAUCGACUCCUCGGCCUCGUUAAAUUACCUCUCCACCAGUUCUACAUGUCAUUUAGGGAUCCAAAGAUUGCCCAACUUCUUCUCCAGGCGCAGUACCCUGUUCUAGGGGUGGACUGCUACAUGCCGCUCAUUGAUGUGUUCUCAGGAAGCUGUAAAGGACAGCUCAGGGUAGUUUUGGCUAUGGGCCGAUCAGAGCAGAUAGCUGCCCUCCAGCGCACGAGGGAUGAAGAAUACGACUGCUUACCUCAUCUCGUGAGACCAGUUCACCUGCUGGAUCACCAGUCUCAUUCACCAAAAAAGGUUAUUGCACCUCAACAGGAAAGUAUGAGAGAGCAUGUGUUUGUGAUAAGAGUGGAGAAGGUAGAUGGGCUGACCCCUCUGCAGUCUACAGUGUGGGGCGAGGCUGACUGCUACGUCCAGUACAGCUUCCCCUGUCAGGAGGCUGACCCUGCUGCAAAAGUGGACCAGAACCUCAUAGAGAGUAGCGUAAACCUGAAGCCGUUCCGUACCACCACCACUCUCUGCGUCCCGGACCCUGUGUUUGGCCACACUGAGACUCAUGUGCUCCUGGCUCCUGAAGGACUUCCUGUUCAGAGGCUGCUGCUUAGCUCUCUUUCGACUAAAGGCCUAAGCAGCGGAGGGGGUGUCCAAUUUGAAGUCUGGUGCAGAUACUAUUAUCCAAACGUUCGAGACCAGCUUGUGGCCAGAGGAAUGCUUCCUUUGUCCAAGCUGUGUGCCAUGGUCACCAUGCAGAGACAGCAUCCUAAUGAGGCUCAAAUGUUCUCCCUGCCCCUGAUUCCCAGGACGAACAGUCCCAUUGCAAACCCGCCUCAGCCCUCAGGAUUACUGGAUGUGUGCAUUCGGUACAAGCACCGACCGGUGAGACCUGAAGGUCAGACUGGUAAAGGAGUGGCCUCUCGUGUUGUGACCCUGGUGGUUCAGGUGCACAGAGCAUCAGGUCUGCAGGCUGCAGCAAGGGUUUUAUCAGAACAAGAUGACAGAUUCAGCUACUUUGCUGGUGUGGGAGUAAACUCGUUCAUCACGGUGGAGCUCUCGUUUUUGCCUGAGAGUGAGAUGAGGUGCACCCGUGUCGCUGCCAGGACCUUCUGCCCUGAGUUUGACCACCACAUGGAGUUGUCCUGCGAUCUGCUGCUUCAGAGGAGCAGUGGAGAAACCUGCAGCUUAGCUGAGCAGCUGGAAGAAGCCUCUGCUGUCUUCACUGUCUGGAACAGAGACAGUCGCAAAGUCCACACUCAUAAGCCUAAGGAUGCGAUGUUGGGCUCAGUGAAAAUACCUCUUGCUGAUCUCAUCCAUAAAAGAACAGGUAUUUCAGGCUGGUUUGGAGUGUAUACACCUCAGCAAACAAGUUCUUCUUCUCAGCAGCAGCACAUCUUGGUCGGAGGCCUUGAAAUCUCCGUCAGCUUCGCCCACCACUCAGACAGGGAAAGAGUGAUAAAAGCUGCUCAGGGUUUGAGCUGGGAAAUGGCCCAGAAUGACAAGCAAGAGGAUGAAGAAGCUUGGGGAGACGGCAUGAGAAAAAUGUCUUUAACUGUUUCGAUUCCUAGAGCGUGGAUACCGGUCCACUGCUUGCUUCUGCCGGGCCUCAGUGAGCUGGAGCGCUCCACGUACUGCUACUUCAGGUACAAGUUCUACGACCAGGAAGCCUUCUGCUCUCAGAUGAAACACCCCUCUGUAGAGGAGGGGGGGCAGGCCACGGUGACCUUCCAGGGAAGUAGAGCAGUGGAGCUAAGGAGCACUCAGCCCUUGAUGUGGUAUCUACGAGAGGAGAGGCUGGAGGUCCAGCUGUGGGUCGCAUUUUCAAAAGAGAAAUCCCAGAGGCCUAGAGACACUGAUCGACUGGUGGGCUCAGCAUUUGUUGAUCUGUCCUCUCUUGCAAAGACGCCGAAGCAGAAGUUUACCAUCAGUGGAGUGUAUCCGCUGUUCAGGCGCUCAGCAGCAGAUCUACAAGGGGCUGCUAUCAGGGUACACAUCGCCAUGACAGCAGGGGAUGUCCCAGUGGAGCUCCCUGCUGGAGUUACCACUCAGGUGGACUCGGACAGCCAGGGGGAGCUCCUAUCAGAGGAGGAAGCAGCAGAUUGUAUCACUUCGCCAGCUACACCAAAACAACCACAAAGCACACACAAGAAUAAGUCCUCCGGAACAACUCCAGACAUCACACGUGUGCAGCAUACAGAAAUGAGCACGGAGGAAUCUUUCCCUGUGACUGUAGCAGUGGAUCGAGCUAUGCACCUGAAUCUGAAGGGCUGUCCUCUGGCAGAGCGCAGUGAAGGGUCGCCGUGCUGCUGUGUUUCCUACAUCACUGCCGACUCCGCUGAACCAGUGUCCACUGCUGUCUUAGCCAACACCGACUGCCCUGUGUGGGACCAUCAUCAUGAGUGCAGGCUUACAAAUGAGCUACUGCUCGAUCCACAGCAACAUCUCGUGUUCAAAGUCUGGCACAAAGGAGAAACGGAGAGGGUGAUUGGAUUUGCGUCUGUAGACCUGUCCCCCUUACUCUGUGGGUUCCAGUUGGUGUGUGGUUGGUACAACAUCACAGACUUCAGCGGUCAGUGUCACGGCCAGCUCAAAGUGUCAAUCAUUCCUCUAAAGGGGGUCCAAGACCUCCGUGGAAAGAGAAAGGCUGUGAAUGAAGAAACUGCCAAAAACUCACCAAAGGAUUUAUUCCAGGCACUCCCUGUCAUCUACCAUACCACAGCCACCUACAGCAGCUUCCCCUCUCACAUCAGCCAGCACACAGAGCAAAAGAUCUCAUCACCCGACAUCACGGAGAGGCUGUUCUCUGAAAGGUCCAGUGAGAGUGACCGCCACUUUGAGCACAUGGACAAAGUGCGACUGUACCAUCAGAGUCUGCAGGAGCAAACAGCAGCUCCUUCUGUCUGCAACAGCAGCAGCGCUGGUGACAUCAAUCCCUCCAGCUCCUUCCUGUUUUCAGCACUCAGGAAAAAACUAAGUGAGCUUGACAACAUCCAGAGAUACUUCAGCCGUAAACUUUCAACUCCCACAUUCCCGCCCACUAGAGAGCCGGACUGUCAGACCAGCCAGGAGGAGCAGAGGGACUCGGAGACAGACACACGGCAGCUUCUUCUCAAGUCCAAACACUUAGUUGGACAAGCAGACAAUAUCAUUAGUGGUCUGCGAGGAUCCCACCUGGAAACAAUUCCUUCAGACCACCUAAGCAGCUCAGCAACUUCACUUGUUGGAGACAACAACCCUCAAACUAUCCCGGAGAGUGUCACCAGUCCACGCAGGGCUUCACAUUUAUCCCAGGAAGAGGAAGAAGAAGAGGAAAAGGUGUCACUCCUGCACUCGCCACUGCCAAAGACGUCUGAAGCCCAGUCAGACUCUGAGCCUGAGGGAGAGAAGGACGAAUGGAGCUACAAGCUUACCGUGUCAGAAGAUGAAAACGAAGAAGGAGCAGACCAAGAUGGUACAGGUUGUUCACAGGAUGAAGAAGCUGAUGAUGAUGAUGAAGAAGAGCUAGAUGAAGAUUACGAUGAGGUUGUGGUGAACCCGAGGCCUCUGAACGAGGUGACUUCGUUAACGGACAAAACCAGCCCUUGGACCAGUAUCAUGUCAGAGCCUGACCUGGUGUCUGUGGAGAGCCCGGAGCCACCAGAGGGAGAGGAUCUGAGAGAGGAUGAGGACGAGGAAGAGGAAACGGUAGAACUGCUAACCCAUAGUGGAGAUGAGAGCAGAGAAGAAAGUGAACAUCAGCAAAGUGACAGUUUUAAUGGAUCAGCUGGAGACUCUUCAGACACAGACGGUGAAAGGACAAUACAAUUUUCAGCCGAGAGACCACCGAAAGAACCCAGCAGCCCCAACGAAGUGUCAGGUGACCGAGUUCCUUCACCCACCACACUGCACGCCACAGAUACCCAUGAUGCUUCAUGCUCCCUGGACCAUCAAGAUGUUCCAACCCAACUCUCUGCCCCUGUGGAGGUUCCUAAUUUCUUCCUUCCCUCUCACCAACUGGAGGCCUCCAUGAGAGUCAUACGUUUAGCUCCUUCUUUCUCCAACAAGACUACUGACCCGAACCGGCUCUGCUUCCUCGGAGGCUCUCGUGGAGCAGACCAGGAGCAGGGGAGCCUCACUCCCCUUUGACUCGGGAGACGCUGUCUCUGGGGUGGCGGAGGAGCGGAGACGUGGGACGGAGCCCCUGCAGCCGCCGAAGGGCGAGCCUGACGCCGAGGUGGUUGCUGUAGGCGUCUCUCCGCUUGCGGCCUCUGCUGCCGGUGUGGACGCCGCGGCUGCUGCAGACGUUGGUGCCGCUGUGGGAGCUCAGCAGGCUGGAGCCAGCUGACUCUGGGGCCUCACAUUCCAAAUCACAGAGGUCCUCGACAGCGUCCCAACAUGUCCCCGUCAUCCAUGAAGAAAGAGACUGAAAGAAUAGCAAAAAUAUUUUCAGCCCACUUUGAUGGCAAUCACUAGU